Molecule: long non-coding RNA, 534 nt
Organism: Cygnus olor (mute swan)
Lineage: Eukaryota; Metazoa; Chordata; Aves; Anseriformes; Anatidae
Exons: 3
Source: RefSeq, a predicted model, not a curated record
AGUCGCCAAAUAGCAGAAAGCCAGGGCUCCGCCUGCCUCACUCUCUACGUCUCGAGGAGGGGCGGGAGGGAAAUGGCGGCCGCCAGGAGAGCCGGGGCUGGGGGCUGAAGGCGGGGUGCCGUGAGGGGUGGGGUCGGUGCGCCCCGGGCUCUGAGGAGGUGGGGGUCGCCGCAUCCAUUUCCCUCAGCUCUGGGAAGGGUGGCUCUGAAGGGACCUCCCAGCUGGGGUCUCAUAACGCUUAGGUUUAUUUAUUUUUUCUUUUUGAGCCGGGCAGCAAAAGUUUAGGGUAGAUCUGCUGUUCAUGGUGAAAAUCAUUUUUGGGUUCUCCUGCAUCAGGUCAUGGAGGAAGGAACAAACCACUGUACCACUGAAGCAUUUGAGGAAGAACAGAGCAGGAGGAGGAAGAAGCUCAGCCCAGUGUUUACAGACUAGCGUGGGAGGUUUUUGAGAUGUAAAGUAACAAGAGUAAGUUGUUGCUUUUUUUGAGGUCUUUCAGGAGUAUAUCCUGAAGGAAGAAGGGUGGGAGGAGGGAAA